This 65-nucleotide transfer RNA is filed under the name Chloracris brunneri. RNAcentral describes it as "tRNA-Thr". It matches the Rfam family "tRNA". Rfam says of the family: Transfer RNA (tRNA) molecules are approximately 80 nucleotides in length. Their secondary structure includes four short double-helical elements and three loops (D, anti-codon, and T loops). Lineage: Eukaryota; Metazoa; Arthropoda; Insecta; Orthoptera; Tettigoniidae. The record is from RNAcentral.
GUUUUAAUAGUUUAAAUCUAAAACAUUGGUCUUGUAAACCAAAAUCAAGGUCCCCUUUUAAAGCU